Oncorhynchus tshawytscha (Chinook salmon) is the source of this 854-nucleotide long non-coding RNA. The record is from Ensembl. NCBI's taxonomy places the organism in Eukaryota, Metazoa, Chordata, Actinopteri, Salmoniformes, Salmonidae.
GAUAGGUUGAGAGAGAGAAGUUGAGAGAGAAAGAGAGAGAGUUUGCGAGAGAGAGAGAAAGAGAGAGAGGUUGAGAGAGAGAAAGAGAGAGGUUGAGAGAGAGGAUGAGAGAGAGAGGGAGGGAGAUUGCGAGAGAGGUUGAGAGAGAGAGAGAUUGAGAGAGAGAGGGAGAGAGAGAGAGGUUGAGAGAGAGAGAGGUUGAGAGAGAGAGAGAUGGGGAGAGAGAGGUUGAGAGAAAGAUGGGGUUGAGAGAGAGAGGUUGAGAGAGAGAGAUUGAGAGAGAGAGAGUGAGAUUGAGAGAGAGAGGGAGAGAGAGGUUGAGAGAGAGAGGUUGAGAGAGAUAGGUUGAGAGAGAGAAGUUGAGAGAGAAAGAGAGAGAGUUUGCGAGAGAGAGAGAAAGAGAGAGAGGUUGAGAGAGAGAAAGAGAGAGGUUGAGAGAGAGGAUGAGAGAGAGAGGGAGAGAGAUAUCGAGAGAGGUUGAGAGAGGGAGAGAUUGAGAGAGAGAGAGGUUGAGAGAGAGAUUGAGAGAGAGAGAGAUAGGUUGAGAGAGAGGGAGAGAGAGGUUGAGAGACAGAGAGAGGUUGAGAGGUUGAGAGAGAGAUUGAGAGAGAGAGAGGUUGAGAGAGAGGUUGAGAAAGGUUGAGAGAGAGAGAGAGAGAGAGAGGUUGAGAGAGAGGUUGAGAGAGAGAGAGAGAGAUUGAGAGAGAGAGAGAUAGGGUGAGAGAGAGGGAGAGAGAGGUUGAGAGAAAGGUUGAGAGAGAGAGGUUGAGAGAGAGAGGUUGAGAGAGAGAGAGAGGUUGAGAGAGAGAGAUUGAGAGAGAGAGAGAGAUUGAGAGAGAGAGGGAGGGAGAGAG